GGGCUUUGGCACUGAUCUACUCCCACCCAUGUGAACUUACCAUUGUUGCCUCGGCAGAAGCUACCUGGUUACCUUACCUUGGAACGGCCUACCCUGUAGCGCCUUACCCUGGAACGGCCUACCCUGUAACGGCUGCCGGUGGACUACCAAACUCUUGUUAUUUUAUUGUAAUCUGAGCGUCUUAUUUUAAUAAGUCAAAACUUUCAACAACGGAUCUCUUGGUUCUGGCAUCGAUGAAGAACGCAGCGAAAUGCGAUAAGUAAUGUGAAUUGCAGAAUUCAGUGAAUCAUCGAAUCUUUGAACGCACAUUGCGCCCAUUAGUAUUCUAGUGGGCAUGCCUGUUCGAGCGUCAUUUCAACCCUUAAGCCUAGCUUAGUGUUGGGAGCCUACUGCUUUUGCUAGCGGUAGCUCCUGAAAUACAACGGCGGAUCUGCGAUAUCCUCUGAGCGUAGUAAUUUUUAUCUCGCUUUUGACUGGAGUUGCAGCGUCUUUAGCCGCUAAACCCCCCAAUUUUUAAUGGUUGACCUCGGAUCAGGUAGGAAUACCCGCUGAACUUAAGCAUAUCAUAACCGGAAGGAAAAACCUUAUGGGAGUUUUCCAAACUCCAACCAUGGGAAACUUACAUUGGUUGCCUGGCGUAAGCUACUGGUUUACUUUACUUGGAACGGCUACCUGUAGCGCUUACCUGGAACGGCUACCUGUAACGGCUGCGGUGGACUACAAACUCUUGUUAUUUUAUUGUAAUCUGAGCGUCUUUAUUUUUAAUAAGUCAAAACUUUUCACAGCGCAUCUCUGUUUCUGGCCUCAUAAUAACGACAAAAUCAUAAUUAAUGUGAAUUGCAAAAUUCAUGAAUCAUGCAAUCUUGCAGCACUGUACACUAUCUCGGGGGGCAGUGCUGUUGCGACAUCUCUCUAAAGCCUAGCUCUAGAUGGUUGGGGGAGCUCUACUGCUUUUGGUCUGGCGGUUUACUCUAAAAUACAGAGGAGCGAAUCUGCAAUAUCUCUCGAGCCGAUGUUAAGUUUUAUUGUCGUCUUUUUUGAUACUGAGAGUGGGGCGGUCUUUGAGCCUACAACAUUUUUUAGGGAUGAGAUGGAACCGGGAGGAAUGCCGCGUCUUACACUAAAGACUGUAGUUCCGCAGAGAAGAGUU
Molecule: ribosomal RNA, 1150 nt
Filed under: Pestalotiopsis caudata
Lineage: Eukaryota; Fungi; Ascomycota; Sordariomycetes; Amphisphaeriales; Sporocadaceae
Description: eukaryotic LSU rRNA
Rfam family: 5.8S ribosomal RNA (bases 199-352)
Source: RNAcentral